AUAGUUGCCUGAUAGGAGAGAUAACAUGAUCCUGAAGGUGAUUUUCCCAGGGUAAGGCUUAUCCAUUACACUCUAGGUGUAAAUAAAAGAUGGCCCAUCUAGAGCUGGCUCACAUUUAUCCUCAGACUUUUGAUUCUGCAGUAACUGCUGCACACUGCAC
This is a small nuclear RNA of Cricetulus griseus (Chinese hamster), 160 nucleotides long. Its record names the gene U1. It matches the Rfam family "U1 spliceosomal RNA". From Rfam's summary of the family: U1 is a small nuclear RNA (snRNA) component of the spliceosome (involved in pre-mRNA splicing). Its 5' end forms complementary base pairs with the 5' splice junction, thus defining the 5' donor site of an intron. There are significant differences in sequence and secondary structure between metazoan and yeast U1 snRNAs, the latter being much longer (568 nucleotides as compared to 164 nucleotides in human). The record is from Ensembl. NCBI's taxonomy places the organism in Eukaryota, Metazoa, Chordata, Mammalia, Rodentia, Cricetidae.